UACAGAUCAUAGGCUUGGUAGGCUGUUACCCCACCAACGACCUAAUCUGGCACGGGCUCCUCUCUAGGCGAUAAAUCUUUGAUGUUUGCACAUAUUAUAAGGUAUUACCUACAGUUUCCCGUAGCUAUUCCUUACCUAGAGGUAGAUUCCCGUGUAUUACUCACCCGUCUGCCACUCAAUAGGCGAACCUAUUGCGUUCGACUUGCAUGU
Molecule: ribosomal RNA, 210 nt
Filed under: endosymbiont of Litopenaeus vannamei
Lineage: Bacteria; Pseudomonadati; Pseudomonadota; Alphaproteobacteria
Description: partial 16S ribosomal RNA
Source: RNAcentral